RNAcentral lists this ribosomal RNA (465 nucleotides) under uncultured bacterium. Its description in RNAcentral is "bacterial SSU rRNA". It matches the Rfam family "Bacterial small subunit ribosomal RNA", at positions 926 to 1391 of the family's 1533-position model. The record is from RNAcentral.
CAAGCGGUGGAGCAUGUGGUUUAAUUCGAUGCAACGCGAAGAACCUUACCUGGUCUUGACAUCCACGGAAGUUUUCAGAGAUGAGAAUGUGCCUUCGGGAACCGUGAGACAGGUGCUGCAUGGCUGUCGUCAGCUCGUGUUGUGAAAUGUUGGGUUAAGUCCCGCAACGAGCGCAACCCUUAUCCUUUGUUGCCAGCGGUCCGGCCGGGAACUCAAAGGAGACUGCCAGUGAUAAACUGGAGGAAGGUGGGGAUGACGUCAAGUCAUCAUGGCCCUUACGACCAGGGCUACACACGUGCUACAAUGGCGCAUACAAAGAGAAGCGACCUCGCGAGAGCAAGCGGACCUCAUAAAGUGCGUCGUACUCCGGAUUGGAGUCUGCAACUCGACUCCAUGAAGUCGGAAUCGCUAGUAAUCGUGGAUCAGAAUGCCACGGUGAAUACUUUCCCGGGCCUUGUACACACC